ACGAACGCUGGCGGCGUGCUUAACACAUGCAAGUCGAACGGAAAGGCCCUGCUUGCAGGGUACUCGAGUGGCGAACGGGUGAGUAACACGUGGGUGAUCUGCCCUGCACUUCGGGAUAAGCCUGGGAAACUGGGUCUAAUACCGGAUAGGAGCCAUUUUUAGUGUGAUGGUUGGAAAGUUUUUUCGGUGUAGGAUGAGCUCGCGGCCUAUCAGCUUGUUGGUGGGGUAAUGGCCUACCAAGGCGGCGACGGGUAGCCGGCCUGAGAGGGUGGACGGCCACAUUGGGACUGAGAUACGGCCCAGACCCCUACGGGAGGCAGCAGUGGGGAAUAUUGCACAAUGGGCGCAAGCCUGAUGCAGCGACGCCGCGUGGGGGAUGACGGCCUUCGGGUUGUAAACCCCUUUCGCUAGGGACGAAGCUUUUUGUGACGGUACCUAGAUAAGAAGCACCGGCUAACUACGUG
This 464-nucleotide ribosomal RNA is filed under the name uncultured bacterium. RNAcentral describes it as "partial 16S ribosomal RNA". It matches the Rfam family "Bacterial small subunit ribosomal RNA", at positions 29 to 507 of the family's 1533-position model. The record is from RNAcentral.